GAGGGAAGAGGAGGAGGGAAGAGGGGGAACAGGAACUCGAUGACCUCUCCCCCGAGAGUGGGGCCAGAACGGAGUCUUCCAGGCGGAUGAGGAGAAGUCAGUCCGCCAGCGGAGGAAAACAGAAGGUGACUCCAACACCUACUCCGAGCUCUCCGACUGCUGACAGGAGGAGAG
Non-coding RNA from Salvelinus sp. IW2-2015, 174 nucleotides. The record is from RefSeq and is a predicted model, not a curated record. NCBI's taxonomy places the organism in Eukaryota, Metazoa, Chordata, Actinopteri, Salmoniformes, Salmonidae.